Molecule: ribosomal RNA, 497 nt
Filed under: uncultured bacterium
Lineage: Bacteria
Description: partial 16S ribosomal RNA
Rfam family: Bacterial small subunit ribosomal RNA
Source: RNAcentral
GAUGAACGCUGGCGGCGUGCCUAAUACAUGCAAGUCGAGCGAACAGACGAGGAGCUUGCUCCUCUGACGUUAGCGGCGGACGGGUGAGUAACACGUGGAUAACCUACCUAUAAGACUGGGAUAACUUCGGGAAACCGGAGCUAAUACCGGAUAAUAUAUUGAACCGCAUGGUUCAAUAGUGAAAGACGGUUUUGCUGUCACUUAUAGAUGGAUCCGCGCCGGAUUAGCUAGUUGGUAAGGUAACGGCUUACCAAGGCGACGAUGCGUAGCCGACCGGAGAGAGUGGUCGGCGGCACGGGAACGGAACCGCGGUCCAGACUCCUACGGGAGGGACCAGUAGGGAAUCUUCCGCAAUGGGCGAGAGCCUGACGGAGCAACGCCGCGUGAGUGAUGAAGGUCUUCGGAUCGUAAAACUCUGUUAUUAGGGAAGAACAAAUGUGUAAGUAACUAUGCACGUCUUGACGGUACCUAAUCAGAAAGCCACGGCUAACUACGUG